UACGGAGGGUGCAAGCGUUAUCCGGAUUCACUGGGUUUAAAGGGUGCGUAGGUGGGCAGGUAAGUCAGUGGUGAAAUCUUUGGGCUUAACCCGAAAACUGCCAUUGAUACUAUUUGUCUUGAAUAUUGUGGAGGUCAGCGGAAUAUGUCAUGUAGCGGUGAAAUGCUUAGAUAUGACAUAGAACACCAAUUGCGAAGGCAGCUGGCUGCACAUAUAUUGACACUGAUGCACGAAAGCGUGGGGAUCAAACAGG
This 253-nucleotide ribosomal RNA is filed under the name uncultured bacterium. RNAcentral's name for it is "partial 16S ribosomal RNA". It matches the Rfam family "Bacterial small subunit ribosomal RNA", at positions 524 to 776 of the family's 1533-position model. The record is from RNAcentral.